RNAcentral lists this ribosomal RNA (293 nucleotides) under uncultured microorganism. RNAcentral's name for it is "partial 16S ribosomal RNA". It matches the Rfam family "Bacterial small subunit ribosomal RNA", at positions 505 to 796 of the family's 1533-position model. The record is from RNAcentral.
GUGCCAGCAGCCGCGGUAAUACGUAGGGUGCAAGCGUUAAUCGGAAUUACUGGGCGUAAAGCGUGCGCAGGCGGUUUUGUAAGUCUGAUGUGAAAUCCCCGGGCUCAACCUGGGAAUUGCAUUGGAGACUGCAAGGCUAGAAUCUGGCAGAGGGGGGUAGAAUUCCACGUGUAGCAGUGAAAUGCGUAGAUAUGUGGAGGAACACCGAUGGCGAAGGGCAGCCCCCUGGGUCAAGAUUGACGCUCAUGCACGAAAGCGUGGGGAGCAAACAGGAUUAGAUACCCUGAUAGUCC